UGGGGAAUCAUGGUCAAUGGGCGAAAGCCUGAGCCUGCGACGCCGCGUGAGUGAUGAAGGUCGUAAGAUCGUAAAACUCUUUUCAGGGAUCUUAAAGCACAACCGUCAACAACGGCUGUGUGUGACUCUCCCUGGAAGAAGCCCCAGCCAACUACGUGCCAGCAGCCGCGGUAACACGUAGGAGGCGAGCGUUAUUCGGAUUUACUGGGCGUAAAGCGCGUGCAGGCGGCUCGAUAAGUUGGAUGUGAAAGCUCCCGGCUUAACUGGGAGAGGUCGUUCAAUACUGUCGGACUAGAGGAUGAGAGAGGGAGGUGGAAUUCCGAGUGUAGUGGUGGAAUGCGUAGAUAUUCGGAGGAACACCAGUGGCGAAAGCGGCCUCCUGGCUCAUAUCUGACGCUCAGACGCGAGAGCGUGGGUAGCAAACA
Molecule: ribosomal RNA, 425 nt
Filed under: uncultured prokaryote
Description: bacterial SSU rRNA
Rfam family: Bacterial small subunit ribosomal RNA
Source: RNAcentral